ACACAAUUGCUCUCAUUCCACUAAUGAAAUAUGUAUUUAUAGUGCUCAAGGCUAAUGAUAGUGGAGAAGGAGGAACAUUUGCACUUUAUUCAUUGAUCUGCAGGUAUGCAAAUGUCAACCUUCUUCCCAAUCGACAGCCAGCUGAUGAACACAUCUCAAGUUUUAAGCUCAAGUUACCUACUCCAGAACUGCAAAGGGCUUUAAACAUAAAGGAAGUCUUGGAACGUAAAUCUUCUCUGAAAACCCUUGUCUUGCUAUUGGUUCUGAUGGGAACAUCAAUG
This 281-nucleotide unclassified non-coding RNA is filed under the name Hevea brasiliensis (rubber tree). Lineage: Eukaryota; Viridiplantae; Streptophyta; Magnoliopsida; Malpighiales; Euphorbiaceae. The record is from RNAcentral.